UGCGUAGGCGGACUAAUAAGUCAGUGGUGAAAUCUUUCGGCUCAACCGAGAAACUGCCAUUGAUACUGUUAGUCUUGAGUUCGGUUGAGGUAGGCGGAAUGUGUAAUGUAGCGGCGAAAUGCUUAGAUAUUACACAGAACACCAAUUGCGUAGGCAGCUUACUAGACCGACACUGACGCUGAGGCACGAAAGCGUGGGGAGCGAACAGGAUUAGAUACCCUGGUAGUCC
This 229-nucleotide ribosomal RNA is filed under the name uncultured bacterium. RNAcentral describes it as "partial 16S ribosomal RNA". It matches the Rfam family "Bacterial small subunit ribosomal RNA", at positions 568 to 796 of the family's 1533-position model. The record is from RNAcentral.